CAGCCCGGCUGCAAGCCUGCCUCCCCCCACUUCCCAGCCGCAGCAGCUUGGGCAGGUCUUGAAGCGCCGGUGUGUCUCCGUUCCUUCAUCUGUAAGACGGAGCCCGUGGUAGAGGAUAACCGGACCGUCUCGCGGGGCUUGGAACAGGAAACGAGUUAGUCCACCCGAAAGUGCUUGGAGUGGACCUGGCACAUACCAAGUCCACCUCCCUGCGACUCCCACUCACCGAUCCCAGCUCUGCCAGAAGGCAAAUGUCAAGAAAAUAUUCUUGAAAGAGAGAACAUAGAAGACCCAAGUAUGCUGUCAGACCGCCAUGGGAUCAAGUCACUCCAAAUGUACAAAGAUUGGACAGUUCAGCUCCCCAGUGACUCCUGUUAAAAAGGAUUUGAAAUGGAAUUUUUCAGCGUUGAGAGUUGAGAAGGUUCUGGAGACCCACUACCCCCCACUAUCCGGAGGAAAGAAGAGUGUCUUGGCCAUAGGAGGGUGUUCAAAUGAUGACUUGGAUCAUCAGAUGCUAAACUCAAGACAGCUGGCUGAGCGAGCCCCGUGCUAUCUCCCCUCAAAGACGAUAUUUGCAGGAGGAAGAAAUCUCAGAGAUACUCAGUGCAGCCCCAAGGACCCCUGGCACCGAGGUAUCCAGCAGAACACAGGUGACCAGCAGAGAAGGUUCGAUGCUGCAGGGAGUCACACUGUGGCUCAGAAAAGGGUGCCUCCACCAAGGCCAGGGGGCAUCAGGCUUCGUGCAGAGAUGGCUUGCAUCUCACACACCUUCUCCCAUCAUCUCCCUGGACCACCGAAGAAAAAUUAGAAUGCAGCACCUGGGUGACUCAGUGGUUAAGCCUCUGCCUUCGGCUCAGGUCAUGAUCUCAGGGUCUUGGGAUCGAGCCCCGCAUCAGGCUCUCUGCUCAGCGGGGAGCCUGCUCCCCCCCCUCUCUGCCUGCCUCUCUGACUACUUGUGAUCUCUGUAAAAUAAAUAAAGAAAAUCUUAAAAA
Molecule: long non-coding RNA, 992 nt
Organism: Mustela lutreola (European mink)
Lineage: Eukaryota; Metazoa; Chordata; Mammalia; Carnivora; Mustelidae
Exons: 6
Source: RefSeq, a predicted model, not a curated record